GACGUAGGAUGCAAGCGUUGUCCGGAAUUAUUGGGCGUAAAGAGUUCGUAGGCGGUGACCUAAGUCUGAUGUUAAAGACGGGAGCUUAACUCCCGCAUGGCAUUGGAAACUGGGCCACUAGAGUCCGGAAGAGGAGAGUGGAAUUCCUGGUGUAGCGGUGAAAUGCGCAGAUAUCAGGAAGAACACCUAUGGCGAAGGCAGCUCUCUGGGACGGUACUGACGCUGAGACGCGAAAGCGUGGGGAGCGAACAGG
This 253-nucleotide ribosomal RNA is filed under the name uncultured bacterium. Its description in RNAcentral is "partial 16S ribosomal RNA". It matches the Rfam family "Bacterial small subunit ribosomal RNA", at positions 524 to 776 of the family's 1533-position model. The record is from RNAcentral.